CGGGAAGCUGCUGACCUGAACUCGUGUUCGCGCCUGUUUAAGCUUUUCCUACAUUUCCUUCACGGUCUCAUGUGGGUUCGAACACGCGCAAACAAAUAGGAAGCUACCACGUUAUUUCUAAUGCAUUAGUGGCCAUCGUCUAGUGCAAACUAUCUUAUAUUUUCCUAGUUACCCCAAUAAUCAUCCACCAUUGGGCAGACCCAAGAACUUCUUGCCCUGAUUAAACGCGUCAGUGCACCAUAAAACCAUGAUCUCACCCGUAGCAAAUAACUUAAAACUGACAGCUACCCAUUAUCGUGUCCGUUGGGGGACAACAGGUAAAAGGAUUGCCAAGCUUUCUUUGGAAAGUGGUGCUUCGUAGCCUCCGCCUCUGUUGAAAAUUAAAAUGGUAUAACUGUUCAUAUCGUAUUAUAUUGCUUUCCCACCUUCACUUUCAUCUUUAUUUAUGUUUUAAUAAUCAACAAAAGCGCGUCCUUCUUCAAGCAACGCUUUGAAUCAAGGAAAAAUCUUUAUAUAUUUCGCUCCCUGUGCAUGUUAGGCAUCGCCAUUUUUCGAGGAAUAUUUGUUAUUCGUUAGUUGAUUGAUUCUCAGAAUGGACUUUCGUAAUAGCUUUUCGCCUCGUUCUGGGAGAUUGAAAGAUCUUAAGGAUUCCUUUCGUCAUCUCGUGUCUAGGAGUCAUGAUGCAGCCACGGUUGGUGUAAAAUCUGAGAGUGUAUUGAAGGACUUCUAUAUUCCAGAUUACAUUCUUGUGGCUGGAUCCGAGCCAGAGGUAUACAAUGAGGAAUUUCAUUCGCCUUCGUGCCCUGUCAUUGUGUUUAUCAACUCAAAAAGUGGAGGCCAGCUCGGAGGGGAACUUCUUGUUACGUAUCGCUCCCUUCUUAACCAAAACCAGGUUAUUGAUUUGGGAGAAAAGGCUCCUGAUAAGGUCCUCCAUCAAAUUUAUGCCACUCUGCAAACUCUCAAGAACAGCGGUGAUGAAUUGGCUACUGAAAUUGAGAAGCGACUAAGAAUUAUCGUUGCAGGUGGAGAUGGUACAGCUGGUUGGCUCCUCAGUGUAGUUUGCGAUCUCAAACUACCUCAACCUCCACCAAUUGCUACAGUGCCUUUGGGAACCGGAAAUAACCUCCCAUUUUCAUUUGGUUGGGGAAAGAAAAACCCAGGCACAGACAGUUUAUCUGUGGAGUCAUUCUUGGAACAAGUAAGGGCUGCCAAGGAAAUGAAAAUUGACAGGUAACAGAAUAGUUAUGUUCUAGAUCUUUUCUUGUUACCUACAUAAAUACAUACAAUCACACAAGCAUAUCAUGAGGCAUAAGUGGACACUGAACUGCAGAUGUGUCUGCCAUCAGUGCUAGAUGAAAUAAUGGCAAUAGCUGUUAAUACACAAGUGAAUUGGGAAAGUUCAAAUACCAUUGAAGUUUUCCUUGCUGACUUCAUGCUGGCAUAUUAUCAUGAGAAUGAAAUGCCCAAAAGAAGGUUCUUGUGAUCCUGUUGCACCUCUUGAACUACCCCAUUCUUUGCAUGCAUUCCAUCGUGUCUCUGAAUCAGAUUCAUUAAAUAUGGUAAGUCUUAAUUUGCAUUUUGUGGGCAGAUGUAUUUCCAAGUUAUACAUGAAUUAUGAGUUUUUGACUUCCAAAAGAAGAGGAAAAUAAUUCUUGAUGUUCACUGCUCUAAUGGUAUCAACCAUAAGGCCCAAAUGAAAACAAAUGUAUUACUAUAUUGUGGAUCUAUGUGCCAGUUAACACCUGCAACUUAUUGUUAGUGGAAGGAACAGAAUUGGAUAAUUAAAUGUCAAUAUCAAAACUCGUACCAUCCACUUCUAUUACUUGUGAUGACAUAUCAUCCACUUUUGUUUCCCACGAGGCAUUCUACAUUGGUUGAUUCCUAUACCAGUUUUUUAAAUUUGCUGCACAUGACACAAGGCUUCUUACUUUUGUUCGUUUUCCCUUCUGAUGUUUGUUUUGCCUCACAUGAGACGAUGCUUUGCUUACUUGUAAAUUUUCUUUUGGCUGUUGUCAGGAGGGUUACCACACUUUUCGUGGGGGCUUUUGGAACUAUUUCAGUAUGGGAAUGGAUGCUCAAGUAUCAUAUGCCUUUCACUCUGAGAGGAAGCUACACCCAGAGAAAUUUAAAAACCAAUUAGUAAACCAGGUAUCAUACCAAAUGUUUAAUAUUAUGCAUUUUUGGUAGGCAUGAUUAGAACUUGACAUGAUCUUUCCCUUUUUUUAUCUUUGUUUUAGUUCUUUUUGCUGGUUCUGUUGAAAAUUGGUUUAGACAUAUUUAAAGAAGCUAAAUGUUAAUGAUGACUUGAAGGAUCCUCUUGCUAAUUUUAUUCAAGCCUCCACCCACAUGCAAAAAUAACAUAGUAGUACUCUUAACUCUUAAGCUGUUCACAUUGAGCUAACACGACUAUCCUUAAUUCUCUUUCUUUUUGAGUAAUCAUUAAGAAGUAUGAUGGAUGCUAAAGUAGCAAUCAUUGUAAAGAACACAGGAUUGUAGUAAUUGUUGUGAUGUCACAACAAAUUUUUUGAGAUGGAUUGUUGUCAGAUACCUCAUGAUGGACAAGUGGAGUUGGAGGAGAUGGGGCAGUUAACUGGAUUUUUAAAACUUGGUAGAAUCUAUAAUCAUUUUCGGAGGUGUUACUAUCUAGAGGAGUGUUUUGGGGGGGGUGGGGGG
Molecule: unclassified non-coding RNA, 2673 nt
Filed under: Hevea brasiliensis (rubber tree)
Lineage: Eukaryota; Viridiplantae; Streptophyta; Magnoliopsida; Malpighiales; Euphorbiaceae
Source: RNAcentral